GCCGCCCCUAGAAUUCCUUCGUCUCAAACUCUCUCUAACCCCUCCAAAACCUUAGCCUUCUCCCACCGGCUUCCACUAUGUUACACCGGAAUCCAUGGCAUCCCUAGGCCCUGGGUGGCCUGUACUCACCUCCAUGUGCUCUUGUACACCUGCUAUUGGAAGAUUCAAGGUCUGACCUUGAAUGUUUUUGCUCAGAUCGUCGUCGAUUCAAGUUCCAUGGCCAUCUCCAGCAUGGCAUGGUCCUAUGAGUCUAUCUAUGGCUCACCUAGCUUAGAGCAGACCCUUUUUCAUGCCUUUCUCACUUCUAGGGUUCUUCUGAAACCCUAGCCCUUCAAGGUUUUCCUAUAUUUCUCUAGAUCCGCUCUAUAUCCAUGCUUGCUAUAAGGUUUUCAAAACGAUUUUCUUAAUUCUCUUUCAAAAGUUUGCUUUCAAAACUAUUCAUCUUCUCCGAUUUAGGGUUUCUUUGAUUUUACUUGUUCUACAGUGAUUUUAUGAAGUGUUUUUACUGUAUUUGUCCUACUGUGACUCUUGUUUGUUUCUACUUUGACUCCUGUAUGUUUUCUCAUACUAUGUUUCCUCCUAAUAUUUCCUUGGGUUUUCUUUUAUUGUGUUUUCCUUCAGCAUGUUUUCACGGAACGAUUAAGUUCCUUUGGGUUUCUCUGAGUUUGCUCUUGCCUGAUUUGUUCAUUUUCGUUCCUACGCUGGAAUAAUGACGAAAACCCUAGAAUUUGGGGGUUUUUCAGACCAUGUGUAUAUGACUUGCACAUCUUCAACUCUGAACUAAUUUGAUUAAAUUUCUCUAUUUUUCAUAUGGUUCUGACCUUUUUGCCAAAAAAAUUUCUACACUAGAUUUUCCUACCGAUUCUUUACAAUGAUAGUACAGCCUUCUUUCAUGUUUGACGUGUUCAUAUGUUCCUUAUAUACUAUGAAUUUCCCCCUAAAGUGGUUUUUCAAAUUUUCCAUUAGUUCAAAAUUUCUUUUGAAUAUAAUUUGAUUGAUUUCUUUCCAUUUUUUUGCAUGUGACUCGACCUAAGUAAAACCUUCCUCUUUUUUUCAGACUUAAUUCAUUCAUAUAACACUCUCAGACCUUUGAUUUACUGUUUUUUAAUUAGUCUUCCUACCUUAUUUGCACAAACCGUGUAUUUUUAAAAACUUUUCCUUAAAUAACUUUUAUGUAUUCACCCUUAUUUAUAUACUAUGCACAUGUUGUUUAUUUGAUCCCCUUUACUUAAAUAUUUUUCGUCCCUUACUCAUAAAAUUGGGAUUCCUUAAUAAAGGAACAUCUGUUAAUUGAUUGAUCUUAAUUGAUACUCGACUAAUUUUCUUUCCUAGCUUGCAUGUCUGAUUUCAAGUAUAAAUACAUGCUCUUCUUUUCACUUCAUCAUUGAAUUCUGACUGCAAAUCAAAUAUCAGAAUUCACCUCUCUGUCUUCUUUACUACUACUAUUACUACUCUCUAUUUCUCUACACUAUUACUGAGCAUUCUACAUCUAUACUUCUUGUUGUCUGAACUUCUAAGCACUUGGGGAGUUUUCUUGAGUCUAUUCCUGUUGUUCCUGGCUUUUGUUUGCUAUUACUAUCCUGCUAGUCUAGAAUUUACAACUGGUAUGUUCUUCUAUGUUAAAUAGCAUCCCUGUUCAACUUCUCUGUUUUUAUCCCUCUUUCUUUGUGUGUCUAUUUAUGCUUUCCUGCACUAUGUAAUUACCUUCGAGCAUGUUAUGUCUCUUAUGUUAUAUUUAAUCCAUUUCCCUCUAUUCCCUUUGCAUGUGAGUAUUGUCCUGGGUCGUAGCAGCAUCAUGAAUUGUUGUCUGUGAUCCAAAACUAGACUUUUCUGAGUCUUUACUUGAUUUCUUUCCCAUUCCCUUUCCCCUCAAUGUGCUGAGCUCUAAUUUGGGUAUGUUGGUGUCCUGAUCACCAUUCAGACCUAAGUUUGACUCUAUAAAAGUCUGCUCUUAUUUGUUUGAAUCUGAGCAAGAGGUUAGGAGUGUGCCAGUCUAUGCCAUGGCUGGGUAUGACCACCUCCUGCUAAGGUUCCCCUCUCACUUUACACCUACUCCUAGCUCUUAAGUUCUACCCCCCUCCGGUAAGCCAUGCUUAGGGACCCUAGAGCUCCAUCUAAACUUGGAUGCCUAAGGGCUGGUAAUUCCACACAUUGCACUACUUUGUUACAACAUUCACUCUUUAGGUGUAAGCAUUUCCUGGGCUCUUGAAGCUCCUUGUAACUUUGAAAUGCUCUAAGAGAAGGCCUUGGAAUCUGGAACCCGGAUUUGGUAAAACACAUGUAUCAGAUAUCAAGAUUGCAUUAGGCAGUUUGGAUCUAGCUGUGGGCUAUGAUGUAUUUUAUUUUUAC
This 2349-nucleotide long non-coding RNA is filed under the name Nicotiana benthamiana. Its description in RNAcentral is "long non-coding RNA (NBEN_LNC035210)". Lineage: Eukaryota; Viridiplantae; Streptophyta; Magnoliopsida; Solanales; Solanaceae. The record is from RNAcentral.